RNAcentral lists this ribosomal RNA (241 nucleotides) under uncultured bacterium. Its description in RNAcentral is "partial 16S ribosomal RNA". It matches the Rfam family "Bacterial small subunit ribosomal RNA", at positions 100 to 334 of the family's 1533-position model. The record is from RNAcentral.
CCGGCACGGGUGAGUAACACGUAUGCAAUCCACCUGUAACAGGGGGAUAACCCGGAGAAAUCCGGACUAAUACCCCAUAAUAUGGGCGCUCCGCAUGGAGAGUUCAUUAAAGAGAGCAAUUUUGGUUACAGACGAGCAUGCGCUCCAUUAGCCAGUUGGCGGGGUAACGGCCCACCAAGGCGACGAUGGAUAGGGGUUCUGAGAGGAAGGUCCCCCACAUUGGAACUGAGACACGGACCAG